Molecule: ribosomal RNA, 274 nt
Filed under: uncultured bacterium
Lineage: Bacteria
Description: partial 16S ribosomal RNA
Rfam family: Bacterial small subunit ribosomal RNA
Source: RNAcentral
AUACGGAGGAGGCAAGCGUUGUUCGGAAUUACUGGGCGUAAAGCGCGCGUAGGCGGCCGUUCAAGUUGGGCGUGAAAGCCCGGGGCUCAACCCCGGAGGUGCGCACAAAACUGAAUGGCUCGAGGCCGGGAGAGGAGAGUGGAAUUCCCAGUGUAGAGGUGAAAUUCGUAGAUCUUGGGAAGAACACCGGCGGCGAAGGCGGCUCUCUGGUCCGGUUCUGACGCUGAGGCGCGAAAGCGUGGGGAGCAAACAGGAUUAGAAACCCCGGUAGUCC